RNAcentral lists this long non-coding RNA (1723 nucleotides) under Sus scrofa (pig). RNAcentral describes it as "lncRNA (ENSSSCG00060030150.1)". The record is from RNAcentral. Lineage: Eukaryota; Metazoa; Chordata; Mammalia; Artiodactyla; Suidae.
UUUUCUUUUUCUUUUUUUUUUUUUUAAGCCAAGAAAUACAUGAAUCCUAGUAGUUACUUUACUGCUAAGGGAUUUUUCGCUUAGAUUUCCUACUCUCCAUCUGCUCUCUGCCGCUUCUAUCCGUAAUUAAUAUUAUCCUUUCACGUGAAAUGUGAGAACCCCUGUGACCGCAGUGGAGGGAAACCGCACAAAACACUGUUAUUAUGCAAAUCACUGGGUUAGGAUGCAGACUGGCUAGGGAACUGGGGUGCACUUUUCCCCAGACCCUCUCUUUAGGAGGAGAGAGGAGGGGGCUGUGUGGAAUGGGAGAACGAUGCUGAUUAUAUGAAAUAACGGCAGUGUCUGGAGUAGGAAUGCAAAGGGAGAGCACACUUUGGGUGGUGGAGGCAGAGGCAUCAUGCUAGGGCUGAGUGGGCAGGGGCUGUAAGGUGGAAGAUUGUUGCUUUAAAAAGAGUAGUGUAGGGAUAUGGUUUGAGUGUGAGAUACAGGCAGGAUGGAUGUGAAAUGACGGUCCAUAUGAUUUUUUUAAGCUAGGUGAGUCUUGGUUUCUUGAUAAAUCUUUGACCACCUCUAACUCAUCUGUAAUCAUUUGUAUAUUUGUGUUGUGGGAAAGAUAAGUUGGUCAAAUUUAUUUGAACCUCGGUAAAAGGAAUCUGAAAGUAAGAGACAUGUAGAACCACAGGCGUGCAAAACCCAAUCGGCCUUUGGAGGAUUUAAAUGAGGUCAAUGAACCAUCUUUCAGCAAGUUCUUGGAAUGCAUUCUCUCUCCUAUCCUCCUCUGGGAUAUAGACCAGGACUGUGUUUUAUUUAUGAAUAUUUAUGAAUGUGAAAAAGAGAUAGUGGACAGAAUUUUCCUGAAUUAACUAACUAAACUUGCAGAGAUUCUUAGAAUAUUUUGUAGUAGUUUUGUGUAUUUUACGUUUGAUGUAAAUUUUAGAUAUGUCAUGUGCCAGAAUCCCCGAGAAGGCAGACAACCCAUUCUUUCUGCUUACACCUCCUGGUCCUAUUUCCCACCGCUUACACCCCCACCCUCAGGCAAGUAACCCAUAACUUGCAAUUCUCAGCUCCGCUGUGUGUGUGUGUGUGUGUGUGUGUGUGUGUCCGUCAGUGUGCGCGCACCCGCGCACUGGCGUGCACCACGCCGGGUAAGGGAAAUGUGAUGUGGGGAAAUCAGUUAAUUUGGUGAUUGCGAUGAAAAUUCGACACCGCUGGAUGUGUUUUCCAUGCCAGUCUGUGUUGCUGGCCUCCGCACGUCACUGCACACACUGCUGGGCUGGUGCGAGAAGAUUAUUUAUUAUAGAGCAUGUGGGCAAUGGACUGCACUUGGGGGUCGCUCCUCUCUGCCUUCAACAUUUCCCUGUGAAUUGUCUAUUCAGUGCACUGCAAAAUAACUGUCUGCUGGUGCCUCUCUCUCUCCCUCAGACUGGAGGAGGAUUUACUCUUUCUCUACCAGGAGAGAUUCCAUCAGCUGCAUUCUUUUUUAUUAAAUACAUGUAAACCCUUAAGUAUGUAAUAUACGAUUAAGACAGUGCUGCUUUUCACAGCAGAUUGGUGGGGGUGUGUGGAAGGGGUGUGGGUAUACCAGAGAAAAUGGACCACUGCAACUAUAAGCACCAGCAUCAGACCCAAAUAAAUAAGUGUCCUAAACAGCAAUCAGGAAAGAGUACCAGCUCAAGGAUAUAUGUGUACUUCUGAGUAUCUUGAUUAGGCCAUAUUAAUAUAC